GCAACGGCACAACACACUUGAGAAACAGCUUGAAGCGUGCAGUUUAUCCUGAACUGACUUGUUUCGGAACUGUUGUGUGUUCUGAGCAUCUCAUAGGCGUUUUUCAACGAUAGUUUCCCGAUUGUUGCACUGCUCUAGUCUUGGGCGAAAUCUCAGUUCGAUUUCAAAAUGCCAAGGUCGUUUCUCCUCCGCCGAAGUUUAAAUGUUCCAGAAAAUGCUAGAAGCAAUGCGAAGAUACAAAGUAAAGGUAUGUACUACUAUACUUGCAUUUUCAUCUGUGCCUCAAAGAAACGUUGUAAACUGUUAUAAACGUCCAUAGUUUAUCGCAACUCAAUGGAUUAGCUUGCAUAUUAUAGAGUAUAGUAGCACAUCUCCCCUUUCUUACCAAAGCCGAGCUUUUUUUAUCUCAGAUUAACUGAGUCGCUAGUGCAAGAAUCGUUUCCGUCCUUCGCUUCUGUUCCUUGACAUUUACACCGUUAGUUUCUUGAAAUUUUAGAUCUGCGUUUACACAACCUAUGCAUCGAUCCACAUGCAAUUUUAAUACUCAAAUAUUUGACUAAAUAAAAUACUACGAAUUAACUACUAAUAAUAUAUCAUGGGUAUAAACAACUGUAUAUAUGUGUAUAAUUGCAUAUAAAUGGUUUGCUUAUUUCGCCAGUUUCAUGUCUAUAUUAUUUAUAUUCUUUCACCACUCAUUCAAUGUGGAUAAAUUUUGAAUGCAAAGGUUAGCGGUUCUUUUGUUUUCAUUAUCAAUUCCAAUAGCAUACUGGCUUGUUGUACUAAUAGAGUAAACUAUACGUUUUUGCGUUGCGUACGUGUUCUAUGAGCAGUUUAAUUUCGUCAGGUUUAUACAACGAUUGUUCGAAUACAAUUUUUCCAGGCAUCUCGGAAAUCGAAUUCCAUAAAGUAUUUUUAUCAUUUCUAAGAUUGAUAGCGCUUAUAAUUGAUGAAGAAGAAUUAACAAGCUUUCACUUUUGAGAAUUUUAUGCGCUAUUUGUUCUCGAAAUGGACUGGAAUUUUAAUUAAUCCAUUCGAUAUAUUGAAUGUUUAAUUUUAAGCUGAGGCUGAAAAAUAUUUCACUCCCUCCUUUACUCUGGAGGAACGGAAGUUCUGGCCAUUGGAGUUAUGCUAUAUCAUAAAUUAAUCCAUUCGAUAUCUAAGAAUAUUGAUUCUAUCAGGACAAAUUGAAUGUUUAAUUUUAAGCUGAGGCUGAAAAAUAUUUCACUCCCUUCUUUACUCUGGAGGAACGGAAAUUCUGGCCAUUGGAGUUAUGCUAUAUCAGUGUCGUCGGAGGCAAAUCGUUAUUGGGGGUGGGGGCUCAACCAAGGGGGGUCUGGGGGCAUUCUCCCUCAGAAAAAUGUUGUGUUUCUUAAGCCUCGGAAGAGCAUUUUCCGUGUUUCGUGAGAGGACUAAUUUUUAUCAAAGUUGUGAAUUUCUAGCAUUUAAAAAUCCAAGAUUUUGUGAUGCAUUUCAUAACGUUCUAUUUCUGACUUAAAUAACAGUUUCUCUUGAAAAAUUGGUUACUAGCCCAGUAAUGCAUAAAAUAUAACCUGAAUAAUGCAAAAUUGUGGUAAGAAAUUAAUAUUACAAAUAACGAAAACUAAGACGUAAGAAUAGAGAGUGGCACUGACAUCCAAUUAGUUCACAAUCAGUUUCAUCUCUGAUUAAAAUCAAGUCUGCCAAUGCAUGUCGGGGCAGACUUAACAGCGAGUGGCACUGUUAAUUAUAUUCCUUAGCUUUGUUAGAAUUAUUUGCAUGAGAAAAUUAAAUCAUUUUGUUUAAAAUUAAGUCAUUUUGUUGUUUAGGACAAAAGAAAGGCUUGUCCUUACCUGAAGAAGCAAAGGUGGAACAAGGAUUUUAUGGAGGGGAGAAUGUUUUCUGGCCAAAUGAACAAAACAAAAUGGAGACGAAGGAUUCCUACAUGUACCAAAGUUACAUCGAUGGUGACAUGAUUGAGAAGAAUAACAAUUUCACAAAAUCCGAAUUCUUCGCAUCUUCACCGCAGAAGAUUGGAGUGGUUGGAUCACAGCUUGAAAUCUUGAACAAAGAAGCGGCCAAAUCUGAACUAAACACACCCGAGUCUAGAGAGAUCCCCGCCCCUGCACCUGGCAUGAAACCGAUCUACAGAUGCGAGCAAUGUGGCAAGACUUUUAAAACAAAAUACACGUUGACCAUUCAUCUCAAAAUGCCCAGCCAUACUGGAGCUCGUCCGUUUGUCUGUAAUAUCUGUGGCAAAGGGUUUCGCCUCUCGAGCACUCUCUGUCGACAUAAGAUCAUUCACACCAGCGACAAACCGCAUAAAUGUCACGUGUGCCAAAAGGCGUUCAACCGUAGCUCGACGUUGAAGACGCACAUUCGUACUCACAGCGAAAAGAAGGAAUUCGUGUGCGAUAUCUGUGGCAAAGGUUUCCAUCAGAAAGGCAAUCUUCGAAAUCACUUGUUGAUUCACACUGGCGAAAAACCGUAUAACUGUCGUUUGUGUAAUAAAGCUUUUAAUAAGUUGUCCAAUUUGAAAUUCCACCUUCAUAUUCACACUGAUAACACUCCGUAUCGUUGCCGUUACUGUAAAACGGCGUUCUCGCGAAGAUGCGAUCUCAAACAGCACAUUCAAACGGAACAUGAUGAUCAGAACAGCGAAUACCUCGAUUCCGAUGAAAUUUAAAGAGUUUUACUACAAAUAAUUACAAAAUGAACUGUGAAUUGACUAAACGUAUACUAACAUUAAUAUAAAUAGUGAAUUAACUUGUUCAUUUUAACAUUAUGCACAUGCAUACAUGACUGUUCAAAAUGACUAUAUUCAUAUAUUUCCUUAUUCAAUUCCGAAAGUGAAAAAAGGGGAAAAGCUAAGUUUAUAUAAAGAAAAUAACGAGAUCAUUAAAUAUGAUUUAAAUUAAACUGCUGUAAAGUUCUCAGUGAAAUAACUAUGCAACUAAUUACAUAAUCAAAUAAUAACUUGAG
This 2958-nucleotide long non-coding RNA is filed under the name Paramuricea clavata. Lineage: Eukaryota; Metazoa; Cnidaria; Anthozoa; Malacalcyonacea; Plexauridae. The record is from RNAcentral.